GUCUAACCUGCUCUAUGAGGAAUUAAAUGGCCGCAGUAUUUUGACUGUGCAAAGGUAGCAUAAUUAUUAGUUUUUUAAUUGGAAACUAGAAUGAAUGGUUGAAUAAAAUAUUAACUGUCUUAAUUUUAUUAAAAUAGAAUUUUAUUUUUUAGUUAAAAAGCUAAGAUUUUAUUAAAAGACGAGAAGACCCUAUUAAUCUUUAUAUUUUAGUUUUAAGUUAUAUUAUAGAUAAAUUUAUUAUUUAUGAUGAAAGUAUUUUAUUGGGGUGAUAUUAAAAUUUGAUUAACUUUUAAUUUAUAUUGACAUAUAUUAAUGGAUUAUUGAUCCAUAUUGAGUGAUUAAAAAAUUAAGUUACUAUAGGGAUAACAGCGUAAUUUUUUUGGUAAGUUCUUAUUAAUAAAAAAGAUUGCGACCUCGAUGUUGGAUUAAGAUAAGGUUUAGGUGAAGAAGUUUAAAUUUU
RNAcentral lists this ribosomal RNA (460 nucleotides) under Clitelloxenia audreyae. RNAcentral's name for it is "partial 16S ribosomal RNA". Lineage: Eukaryota; Metazoa; Arthropoda; Insecta; Diptera; Phoridae. The record is from RNAcentral.